AUUGAACGCUGGCGGCAGGCCUAACACAUGCAAGUCGACCUUAGUGGCGAACGGGUGAGUAACACGUGGGUAACCUGCCCAUCAGAAGGGGAUAACACUUGGAAACAGGUGCUAAUACCGUAUACUGAUGGAUGGACCCGCGGGGCAUUAGCUAGUUGGUGGGGUAACGGCUCACCUAGGCGACGAUCCCGAGCUGGGUUGAGAGGCUUACCAGCCACACGGGAACUGAGACACGGUCCAGACUCCUACGGGAGGCAGCAGUGGGGAAUAUUGCACAAUGGGCGCAAGCCUGAUAGAGCCAUGCCGCGUGUAUGAAGAAGGCCUUCGGAUUGUAAAGCACUUUAAGUUGGGAGGCGUUACCAACAGAAUAAGCACCGGCUAACUUCGUGCCAGCCGCCGCGGUAAUUC
Molecule: ribosomal RNA, 408 nt
Filed under: uncultured bacterium
Lineage: Bacteria
Description: partial 16S ribosomal RNA
Rfam family: Bacterial small subunit ribosomal RNA
Source: RNAcentral